GCUGGGCAUGGUGGCGUGUGCCUGUAAUCCCAGCUACUCAGGAGGCUGAGGCAGGAGAAUUGCUUGAACCCGGGAGGCAGAGGUUGCAGUAAGCCAAGAUGGCGCCACUGCACUCCAGCCUGGGUGACAGAGUGAGACUCUGUCUCAA
This 148-nucleotide small RNA is filed under the name Pongo abelii (Sumatran orangutan). Its description in RNAcentral is "Metazoan signal recognition particle RNA (ENSPPYG00000032610.1)". The record is from Rfam by way of RNAcentral. Lineage: Eukaryota; Metazoa; Chordata; Mammalia; Primates; Hominidae.